UAACACCCCGUUUUUUUUUUUUUUCUUAACGGUGUACGAUAAAGCACUCAUACAACACAAUACCGAAAUCCAUAUUAUUCCAACCAUGCACAAGAGAAAUUGGUCCACCUUCCAUGUUCCAAAUCAAUUGUACAUACAUCUCCACCUCUACAACACAUAGUAAUACAAUAUCAAACAUUCAUAGAUAUUCAAUAUCCAGACUAAACCAUCCUUUCAAACUACUUUAAAUCACAAACAAAACUUGUGCCCUAUGGCACUACCGACGGGGCUCCGUUACCAGCCGCUCGGAUCCCAAUUCAGUUCUUACUCCACCUGUGAAUGAUGAGAAGUGAGUUCACAUAACUCAAUACGAUAAAAAUCAAGUUGUAAGUGUAAUAUGCAGUGACA
Molecule: long non-coding RNA, 387 nt
Filed under: Carica papaya (papaya)
Lineage: Eukaryota; Viridiplantae; Streptophyta; Magnoliopsida; Brassicales; Caricaceae
Description: long non-coding RNA (CPAP_LNC014493)
Source: RNAcentral